Molecule: long non-coding RNA, 674 nt
Organism: Arabidopsis lyrata subsp. lyrata
Lineage: Eukaryota; Viridiplantae; Streptophyta; Magnoliopsida; Brassicales; Brassicaceae
Exons: 2
Source: RefSeq, a predicted model, not a curated record
UUUCUAAUCAUUCUUUUUUGAAAUUGAUAGGAUUUGACAGAAGAUCCACAUGAUAGAUUAGAAAAAAUAAUACCAAAGUAGUUUGUAAGAGUAUCUCCAAUGCAGGGUUCUCUUCUAUAUUUUGAUUAGUUCUCAUCUGAAAUUGGCAAAAAAAAUAAUUCAGAAUUGAAUAAAGAAGAGAGAAUCGAUUCUCUUCGAAGAGUUUGAGAUUUUGAUAGAGGCGGACACGUGCCAGUGUUCGAUUGGAGGAAGUGUUUUAACAAAAGAAAAAAAAAACACUCAUUUUUUUUAGUUUUCUCUCUCGACCAAAAAAAACACUGACUCUCUCUCUCUCGAUCUCGCGAUUGCGAGAAAAAAACAAACUGAUGAACAAACGCCGAUUUCGUGAGAUUCCUCGUUUGGAAGAAGCUCAGUAACUCUUCAAAGUGACAACUACAUCAUUCCAUCAAAGUGAUUAUAUAGCAACCAAAAUUGGUUUGUUGAUUUUUACUCUAGUCUGUUUUCUUUGAAAACUUCUAUUCAUUGACAAAUCAACAUUUGAUAUACAAAAAUCCGAAUCUCAGUUUUGAAACCAUACGAAAACUUAAACCAUGACUUAAACAUGUCUCCAUAUGUAAUUUAAGUUUACAUCAACCACAAAACCAUGACUUGAAUCCAUAUCUUCUUUUUCUCCA